RNAcentral lists this ribosomal RNA (482 nucleotides) under uncultured bacterium. RNAcentral describes it as "bacterial SSU rRNA". It matches the Rfam family "Bacterial small subunit ribosomal RNA", at positions 27 to 507 of the family's 1533-position model. The record is from RNAcentral.
CGGAUGAACGCUAGCGGCAGGCCUAACACAUGCAAGUCGAGGGGUAUAGGGAGCUUGCUUCCUAGAGACCGGCGCACGGGUGCGUAACGCGUAUGCAAUCUACCUUGUACAGGGGAAUAGCCCAGAGAAAUUUGGAUUAAUGCCCCAUAGUAUUAUUAAAUGGCAUCCUUUAAUAAUUAAAGUUCCAACGGUACAAGAUGAGCAUGCGUCCUAUUAGUUAGUUGGUGUGGUAACGGCAUACCAAGACGAUGAUAGGUAGGGGUCCUGAGAGGGAGAUCCCCCACACUGGUACUGAGACACGGACCAGACUCCUACGGGAGGCAGCAGUGAGGAAUAUUGGACAAUGGGCGCAAGCCUGAUCCAGCCAUGCCGCGUGCAGGAUGACGGUCCUAUGGAUUGUAAACUGCUUUUGCACAGGAAGAAACAUCCCGACGUGUCGGGACUUGACGGUACUGUGAGAAUAAGGAUCGGCUAACUCCGUG